This 791-nucleotide non-coding RNA is filed under the name Pongo abelii (Sumatran orangutan). The record is from RNAcentral. Lineage: Eukaryota; Metazoa; Chordata; Mammalia; Primates; Hominidae.
GGCAAAGGGAGCAGACAGCUGGCAAGCUCUGUCCCAAUAUGCUUCCCUGAAAGAGGCGAGGAAAUUUCAGAAGAUGCAAUGCCUGAAUGGCUCACUUUGCAGGAAAACAGAAGAACCAAGAGUGAACAGGCAACCUACAGAAUGGGAGAAAAUUUUUGCAAUCUACUCAUCUGACAAAAGGCUAAUAUCCAGAAUCUACAAAGAACUCAAACAAAUUUACAAGAAAAAAAAAAACAACCCCAUCAACAAGUGGGCGAAGGACAUGAACAGACACUUCUCAAAAGAAGACAUUUAUGCAGCCAACAGACCCAUGAAAAAAUGCUCAUCACUGCCCAGCUAAAUCUUGACUUCUAUUGAAGAAGUGAAGGAUGGAUUUUGUAAGCCAACCAGCAGCUAAAGGAGACUUAAGAGGAGUCACUGAAGAAUAUAAGGGUUAUGAAGACAGUGGUGUCCCAGAAACCAAGGAGAAGAGGAUGUUGCAUGAAGAAGGAGAUGAUGGUUUCACUUUGGUUACAUUUAUCCGAAUGCCCUGUCCAACUCUUCAGUGUCCCUAGCAAAAUCUGGUAUAGAGAUGGACACUGUUUUUCAGGUGAAACCUGCUGAGUGUGGAGAGUUGUGAAAAAUUUUUCCCUUAAAUUGAGAAUGUUUUAAAUAAUGCAGCCUAUGUUUUCUUUAAGUAACAAGGCCAUCCCACUGACGCACUGAUGUGGUUCUCAGCAAAAAACUCCCUGCUCUUUCUCAUAUUAAUUGCCAUAAAAACAAGUCACUUCUAUCAUGCAUUUGGCUCACUG